This is an RNA transcript of Theobroma cacao (cacao), 2471 nucleotides long. It is a transcript of the gene named Transducin/WD40 repeat-like superfamily protein, with no coding region annotated. NCBI's taxonomy places the organism in Eukaryota, Viridiplantae, Streptophyta, Magnoliopsida, Malvales, Malvaceae. The record is from RefSeq and is a predicted model, not a curated record.
UAUUUCAUGGCAGCUAUUGCAAACAAUUAAGCUAUAAAUCUUCCCCAAAUCUUAAAGAAAAAGGAAAAAAAAUCACAUUUUUGAAUUGAAUUUGAGCAGAACAGGGAGGGGGAAAGGAAAAUGGAAGACGACGCUGAUAUUUACGACGGAAUCAGAGCUCAAUUCCCUCUCACUUUCGGUAAGCAACAAAAGUCCCAAACCUCUCUCGAAGCCAUCCACAACGCCACUCGCCGUUCUACCACAGACGCCGCCAAUAAUAGUAAUAAUAAAACCGAGGAAGGCCUCCCUUCGCUUUCCUCCUCCUCCCAAGCUUGGCUUGAUUCCCUCCGCAAUUCCAAACCUUCCAACCCUAACACUAAUGACUCCUUGAUUGGCCCGCCCCGUCCUCCUGCUGCUGUCCCUGAUGAGGAUGAUGGUGACGUCAUGGUGGGACCUCCUCGGCAGCCUCUAGGUUCAGGUGAUGACGAUGAUGAUGUCAUGAUUGGGCCGCCACGGCCGCCAGUUGGGCCCAGUUCGGACUCUGAUGAGGAGGAGGAGGAGAAUCGGUAUCGGAUACCAAUGAGCAAUGAGAUUAUUCUCAAGGGACAUAAUAAGAUUGUUUCAGCUCUUGCAAUUGAUCACUCUGGAUCUAGGGUUCUUUCUGGAAGUUAUGAUUAUACCGUUCGAAUGUUUGAUUUCCAAGGAAUGAAUUCUCGUUUACAAUCAUUUAGACAGCUUGAACCAUUUGACGGCCACCAAGUUCGUAAUCUAAGCUGGAGUCCCACGGCAGACCGGUUUUUGUGUGUCACUGGCUGUGCUCAAGCUAAGAUAUAUGACCGAGAUGGACUUACUUUAGGUGAGUUUGUGAAAGGGGAUAUGUAUAUUCGUGAUUUAAAGAAUACUAAGGGACAUAUAUCUGGGUUGACUUGUGGAGAGUGGCAUCCGAAAACUAAGGAGACAAUUUUAACAUCGUCUGAAGAUGGGUCGCUUCGUAUAUGGGAUGUUAAUGACUUCAAAAGUCAAAAGCAGGUUAUCAAACCAAAACUUGCACGGCCUGGAAGAAUUCCUGUUACAACAUGUGCAUGGGAUCGUGAAGGGAAAUUCAUUGUAGGUGGAAUUGGAGAUGGUUCUAUACAGAUAUGGAACCUUAAGCCUGGAUGGGGAAGCAGGCCAGAUAUAUACAUUGAAAAAAGUCAUUCUGAUGAUAUCACUGCACUAAAGUUUUCUACUGAUGGAAGAAUUUUGCUAUCCAGAAGCUUUGAUGGUUCACUCAAGGUUUGGGAUUUACGCCAGAUUAAAGUCCCUCUUAAGGUGUUUGAUGAUCUCCCAAAUCACUAUGCUCAAACAAAUAUUGCAUUUAGUCCUGAUGAGCAACUUUUUCUAACUGGGACAUCCAUUGAGAGGGAAAGUACUACUGGAGGUUUGCUGUGCUUUUAUGAUCGUUCAAAACUUGAACUUGUUCAAAGAGUUGGGGUAUCCCCAACUUGUAGUGUUGUGCAGUGUACUUGGCACCCAAGACUAAAUCAGAUAUUUGCAACAGCUGGGGAUAAAAGCCAAGGAGGGACACAUGUGCUGUACGAUCCAACCCUUAGUGAGAGAGGUGCUCUUGUUUGUGUUGCACGUGCACCUAGGAAGAAAUCUGUUGAUGAUUUUGAGGCACCGCUUGUGAUUCAUAACCCUCAUGCGCUACCAUUGUUUAGAGACCAACCAAGCCGUAAGCGUCAACGGGAGAAGAUACUGAAGGAUCCUAUCAAGUCGCAUAAGCCUGAACUUCCCAUAACAGGACCAGGAUAUGGUGGAAGAGUGGGUGCAAGUAAGGGAAGCUUGUUGACUCAGUACCUUCUUAAGCAAGGGGGAAUGAUCAAGGAAACAUGGAUGGAAGAAGAUCCUAGAGAAGCUAUACUUAAAUAUGCUGAUGUUGCAGCUAAAGACCCCAAGUUCAUUGCUCCAGCAUAUGCUCAAACUCAGCCCGAACCUGUUUUUGCAAAGUCAGAUUCUGAGGAUGAAGAGAAAUGAUCUGAUUAUGGAUGGAUCCUUGUGCCUACUGUCUAUAGUAGGCAUUUUGAAAGAUUUGACAACUCUUUGAAACCAGGCGAGGCUGGACAAAACUUGCUAAAUCAUUUUCAAGUUUUCUUGGGUGGGGAGGCAUGCACUGUGCAUUUACCAAAUAAGGUCAGCAAUCGACACAUUCAUAGCCCAGCUGAAGAAUGUGGUCGACUUGGCAGUCCCAACUCCCAAUCAUGCUUCAUGAGAGUAAUGCAAUAUCAAAUUGACGGAAAUGUGGACCACUUUUGUAGCUUAGUUACAGCACUGAUUUGAACAAUACCGGAUGAAAGCCUCUAUUCCAAGCGAUAAACAGUUUGCUGUUAAGCAACAGAUGAUCAUUAAAAGCUAAAAAUGUUGAUAAAGAAUACGAGUUACUCUAUAAACUGUUGGAUUAAACUAUUGACAUUUACAGGAUUUGUGAGUAAGAUCAAUCUCUGAUUUUCCUA